RNAcentral lists this unclassified non-coding RNA (269 nucleotides) under plant metagenome. RNAcentral's name for it is "partial contains small subunit ribosomal RNA, internal transcribed spacer 1, and 5.8S ribosomal RNA". The record is from RNAcentral.
UUUCCGUAGGUGAACCUGCGGAAGGAUCAUUAAUGAGUUGUCAUGGGGUUCGAUGCUGGCAGCCAAUUUUUGGAUGCAUGUGCUUGCCCUAACAAUCAUCUUCCAAACACCUGUGCACAUUUUUGAGGGAGUCUUGGGUUGGUUGCCGCUCUUGGGUGAUUUUCUCACAUUCCCUUAAAUCAUUAUACGCUAUUAACAAUGUUGAACGUGCUCUGUGCCGCAAGGCUAUUAAUAUGAUACAACUUUUAACAACGGAUCUCUUGGCUCUC